RNAcentral lists this ribosomal RNA (483 nucleotides) under uncultured bacterium. Its description in RNAcentral is "bacterial SSU rRNA". It matches the Rfam family "Bacterial small subunit ribosomal RNA", at positions 30 to 501 of the family's 1533-position model. The record is from RNAcentral.
AUUGAACGCUGGCGGCAUGCCUUACACAUGCAAGUCGAACGGUAACAGGGAGCUUGCUCCGCUGACGAGUGGCGAACGGGUGAGUAAUGUAUCGGAACGUACCAUUCAGUGGGGGAUAACGUAGCGAAAGUUACGCUAAUACCGCAUAUUCUGUGAGCAGGAAAGCAGGGGAUCGCAAGACCUUGCGCUGAUUGAGCGGCCGAUAUCAGAUUAGCUAGUUGGUGAGGUAAAGGCUCACCAAGGCGACGAUCUGUAGCGGGUCUGAGAGGAUGAUCCGCCACACUGGAACUGAGACACGGUCCAGACUCCUACGGGAGGGCAGCAGUGGGGAAUUUUGGGACAAUGGGGGCAACCCUGAUCCAGCCAUGCCGCGUGAGUGAAGAAGGCCUUCGGGUUGUAAAGCGUCUUUCGGUCCGGGAAAAAUACGGACAUCAGUUAAUAACCUGGUGUGGAUGAUGGUACCGGAUAAGAAGCACGGCUAAC